GACGAACGCUGGCGGCGUGCCUAACACAUGCAAGUCGAACGAACGGACGAGAAGUUUGCUUCCCUGAUGUUAGCGGCGGACGGGUGAGUAACAUGUGGACAACCUACCUAUACGACUGGGAUAACUUCGGGAAACCGUAGCUACUACCGGAUAAUAUUUUGAACCGCAUGGUUCAAAAGUGAAAGUCGGUCUUUCUUUCACUUAUAGACUGAUCCGCGCUGCAUUAGCUAGUUGGUAAGGAAGCGGCUUACCAAGGCAACGAUGGAUAGCCGACCUGAGAGGGUGAUCGGCCACACUGGAAGUGAGACACGGCCCAGACACCGACGGUAGGCAGCAGUAGGGAAUCUUCCGCGAUGGGCGAAAGCCUGACGGAGCAACGCCGCGUGAGUGAUGAAGGUCUUCGGAUCGUAGAACGCUGUUAUUAGGGAAGAACAUAUGUGUAAGUAACUGUGCACAUCUUGACGGUACCUAGACAAAAAGCCACGGCUAACUACGUG
Molecule: ribosomal RNA, 497 nt
Filed under: uncultured bacterium
Lineage: Bacteria
Description: partial 16S ribosomal RNA
Rfam family: Bacterial small subunit ribosomal RNA
Source: RNAcentral